GUCGAGGCUUUUUUCAAAGCCAAUAAUCAAAUUCUUUAAGAUAAUG
Ascaris lumbricoides (common roundworm) is the source of this 46-nucleotide non-coding RNA. The record is from Rfam. NCBI's taxonomy places the organism in Eukaryota, Metazoa, Nematoda, Chromadorea, Rhabditida, Ascarididae.